This is a long non-coding RNA of Crotalus tigris (Tiger rattlesnake), 3577 nucleotides long. RefSeq lists it as uncharacterized. The transcript has 5 exons. NCBI's taxonomy places the organism in Eukaryota, Metazoa, Chordata, Lepidosauria, Squamata, Viperidae. The record is from RefSeq and is a predicted model, not a curated record.
UUUCAUAAUCAUGUCCUCAUCUUUUUUUAGUAAUAAUAUCGAAAUGGCUUACCAUUGCCAUAAACAUACUAGCUAUGGUAUUUCUUAGUAGUCUUCUGUCCAAAUACUAACCAGAUCCAACCAUGUUUAACUUUCCAAGUUUAAUCAAGGUUACUUAGGUACUGCCACCUACAUGGGUUUCCUUUAGAACAAGGGUGUUAAACUGCCGGCCUGCGGGCCAGAUGCGUCAGGCCAAAACCGUGCAUAUCCCAUUGGCGGCAAUAGGGAAAAAAAUCACGAUAUGUCACGACGUCAUGUGACGUGAAUUUGCCACUCGUGCUUUAGAAGCACACUUCAAAUGAGCAUUUUCCAAGAAAUGUUGAUUUAUAGGGGGGGGGAAAUCCAGUUAAUAACCUGCAACAAUUUUGUUUAAUAAAUGUAGUGGUAGUGGGGGAAAAAAUACAUUCAAAAGCUUCUUUUUAGAGGUCACCACCCCACUUUGUUUUAAGAUUUAUUCUGGCCAUGAGAGUAAUAUUUCAAUGCUUCUUAACAAAUUCUUGAAAAGAAUGGAUCAGGGAAGUUCUUAUUGCGCUUGUAUAUCUUAUUUAAAGGGGAAAUGGAUUUAGACCCAUGAACUUGUUCCAAAAAUCUUAAAAGAAGAUAAACAAUUUAAAGUUACUUUUGAAGUUUUUAAAAAGAGCAUCUAUUAUCUAAAUGCAUUAAAUGCAUACUAGGCACAUUUAUGAAAUAGUGAUUAUUUGUGGAAAUGUUUGGCUUAUCCAUCCUUUUAAUGUAUCUUCCAAUUUGGCUCAGUGUUUGUCUCUGAGCAAGCCAUUAAUAAAAUAUUAAAUAGGACUGGUGAAGAUCUUUCCAAAGAGGACAAGACCUAAAUUGUUUAAACCUCUCAGCCUCCCAAUUUGGGAGAAUGAUUGUUGAAUUUUAGCAAGAUAAUGGCAGCCUUUGCUGAAGAAAAAUUACAUUCAGUAUGUCUAGAAAGUCCUUUUGACAAUUUGAUGAUUUUAGUAAGUAAGCAAAUAUCUACAUUCUCUAGCACAUCCACAUUCCUUUGUUCCUAUUUGGAAGAAAGACAGGAUAUAAAUCUAACAAAAAGUCCAAACUUGACACUGAACUGAAAUCUUGCAUUUUCCAUAAUUCUUAACAAUUUUUUUCAUGUACUAGGAUAUAAUUUUAUUUCCCUUCUUUCAAAUCUUGAUGUCUUAAAGAAUUAGAAAUUAAAGUACUAUUAGAAGUUGAUCUUGUUGUUCAAGUAUUAAUCAUAUUUUACCCAAGGCAGAAACACUUUCUUAUCUUUUGGUGGAGAAAAGCAUCCUGUUGCAUUUCAUCCAUUAUGAUAAUCUUUGACCAUUUAUUGAGCCAGUCACUCUUUCUCAGCCCAAUUCACAGGGUAGCUGUUGUGGGAGAAAUAGGAAGAAGGUUGCUGCCUUGAGUUAUUUCUAAAAAUAAUAAAGGUGGGAUAUAAAUAAAGUAAAAUUAAAUGUAAUAGGUAGGAGAGUAUUGGCCCACUGGAUAUUACCACAGGGUACUUCAGCAGGAAAGGGAAUUCUCAGGUAAUUUUUGCCCAGGUAGGGUAAAGAUAGCCUCCAAUUGAAAAGAGAGUUUCUAUUUCAUUUUGUUAAAACCACAAGAAGAAACUUUUAACAUUUAGGCAAGAUAUCUCCAAGACCUGAAUGUCAGCUUAUGCAAACAUUUUCAAUAUGUUUUCCAUCCUGUGAUUAAGGCUUAUAAAAUUGCAUAUCUUGUCUGAAGGUAAGAAAAGAAGUACUUAACCAAGUAAGAGUUAUGCUAAUUUUAACUUCCUGUUCAAACCAAAAGAGAAGGGUUGUUUUAUUCACAUAUGUACAUGCAUUUUAUUGAGACACUUGAUUAAGUGUUAAUUCCAGUUUUUCUUAUGCUGAUGUUGCUAAAUCAGUACUGUAACACUUUUUAUUAGAAUAAUUAUUGACAAUAUCCUAUCGCUAAUCUUUUAUGUUUAAAAAAUCUCUUUUCUAUUUUCCCUCAGACUAAGAAGAAAAAGUAGGGAAAUCUUUCUUCUGUCUGAUCCUUUACUGUUAGUUGCCCAAAUCCUGUAGUGAAUAUUUGUUUUUUUAAUUUGCAAAUUCCCUAGGGCCUAGGGAAUGUGUAAAAAUGGCCUUCAAUUAUCCAGCAGGUCAGAAGAGAAAAAUUAGAAUUCCUGCUCAGUUGAGCAAUGUUUUUCUCUCAUUCUAUCCUGUUUUCUUUAAUGAAAAGAAGCUAAGCCAGAAGCUAUAUUAGCCAGCAAAAAAGAUCCAACACUGUAUUCGCCUUUCUCAUAUAGAAAGCAUCCUUUAUUCUCCACCUAAGCUACAUCCAGUGCCUCCAUUUUAGCAUUGAUAUGUGUGAAUGCUACAUUUUAAAGCUGUGGCAAGCAGCUUUAAAACUACAUUUUUAUUUUUCUGCUUUUCCUGUCAGUGGCUGAAUUCAUAUAUUUCCAUUAAAGUAAAUUGUGUCUUAAAAUCUCUGCUUCCCAUCUUUAUUUAAACUCACUCUUUCCCUCAAUAAAUGCAAAGUAUUGAAUUUCUCUUAAACUCUUAACUCAGUAUGAUAUACUACUAGUCUCAGGUAUUGUUUAAUAUAUCUUAUUAUUUAUUAUAUUUCCAAUUUGUGGUUUUAGUGCUGCCAUGCUGCCCAGCCACCGCCCAGAGUAUCAGUAGACCAAUCCUUUCCUGAGGCCAGGCAGCUACCUGGAUGUCCCUGCAGUUUUCUUGGAAAGAUUUCACACUAAAGAUUGGGUUGGAUUGGCUCUUUCCAAGUCCAGGAGAUAUCUUUGAAACUGUCUAUUCCAUGAAGAUGCUACUUGCCCGGUCUGAGGGGACAAUAGAGUGCCAUUAAAGGUCCUCAACUAUCAAAAGGUGUGACAAGAGGGGACCCAAAACAGUGCCUCUCCUUUGAAGCAACAAACAUAGGAUUCCUUUCAAAUAAUACUGAAGGUUUGAAAGAUAUUCUUAUUUUUUAAAAAAGCAAAGGAUACCUUUGACAUCAUAGGAAAGCAAGGGCAUUAUCUUUUAGCAAUGGAGAUGUCCCGAGCAGCUUUUUCUGAGAAGCGAACGGACAUACCACCAUCCCUCCCCCACUCCGGAGCAUGAGGAGACCGCUUCUUACUUUUAUAAACCACCCGCCUCAAUGUAAAGCUUGCCGGGCUUCUUGCAAGCUCAGUCGCGUCUGCGCGCCUGCUCAAGAGAUCUCGAAGCUUGGCUUUUUUCCUCCACAGCAGAAGAGUCGGGGAACUUUCCUAGCCGUCCAGCUAUCCGUCCACCCACGGAGGAGCAGUGGCUUCGUAGGCCCUCCCAUCCCGCUUUGAGUUUUAUAACCUGCCAUCUGGCUCAAAGCACUUCUCCGUUGCGAGGAGGCGGAGCUGGCAGCCCGCUGGGCAGAUGCCUUCUUCUUCUUCCUCUCCCUCCUCCCUGAAAUGACAAGAGUAGGACGCUGCUGGCUGGGUUGCCCUGCAGGGAAAAUUUAUAUAUAAGGUGUGUAUUUAAAAUAUUAGAAUGUAUGAGUAAAUUGGGAUAAAGGAAUUGUGUUUAAUUAAAAAUUUGGAAAAAUUAAAUAUUAAAUGUAAUCU